RNAcentral lists this ribosomal RNA (468 nucleotides) under uncultured bacterium. Its description in RNAcentral is "partial 16S ribosomal RNA". It matches the Rfam family "Bacterial small subunit ribosomal RNA", at positions 28 to 507 of the family's 1533-position model. The record is from RNAcentral.
GACGAACGCUGGCGGCGUGCUUAACACAUGCAAGUCGAACGGAAAGGCCCUGCUUUUGUGGGGUGCUCGAGUGGCGAACGGGUGAGUAACACGUGAGUAACCUGCCCUUGACUUUGGGAUAACUUCAGGAAACUGGGGCUAAUACCGGAUAGGAGCUCCUGCUGCAUGGUGGGGGUUGGAAAGUUUCGGCGGUUGGGGAUGGACUCGCGGCUUAUCAGCUUGUUGGUGGGGUAGUGGCUUACCAAGGCUUUGACGGGUAGCCGGCCUGAGAGGGUGACCGGCCACAUAGGGACUGAGAUACGGCCAAGACUCCUACGGGGGGCAGCAGUGGGGAAUAGUGCAAAAUGGGCGGAAGCCUGAUGCAGCAACGCCGCGUGCGGGAUGACGGCCUUCGGGUUGUAAACCGCGUUCGCCUGUGACGAAGCGUGAGUGACGGUAAUGGGUAAAGAAGCACCGGCUAACUACGUG